Molecule: long non-coding RNA, 576 nt
Organism: Triticum dicoccoides
Lineage: Eukaryota; Viridiplantae; Streptophyta; Magnoliopsida; Poales; Poaceae
Exons: 3
Source: RefSeq, a predicted model, not a curated record
UAGCCAGCGAGUACGUGAGCGCACGUAGGCACCAUCGCUUUCGAGGAUGCGAGAGCCAUCUCAGCUUGAGAGAAUGCGCAUACCAUCUCCAGUGUGUGCAACAAGUGUUCCUCUAAACGUCUGAGCGUAAAGACUACUCAUGGGUGAUGCUUCUGUGACCAGACCUCUAUAAAAUCACAAGAUAGUUUCAGUGUUGUUGUUCUCAAUCAUGUUACCCUUAAGUGCAAGACAUCAAUUUGCUCUUAAGUAAAAGGGAAAUUUGAGCAGGAAAGGUAAGCAAUUCGAAGCAAGCUCCCGAGAUAAAUUUUCUUUUGGUUUAGCUAACGAAUGCCUUGGUAUAGGUCUAAUCUCUCCUUCCUAGAGAUGGUUCUUUCUUAUUUCUUUUACGGGGACUUACUUUUGUUUCUUUAAUUAGGAUACCUUCACCUGGUAUUUUUUGUUUUAAUUAAUGAAUAUAGAUCAGUUGCAUUGUUUUGUCUCAACCAAGCUAGCCGUAUAGUAGAAAUUCAGCAUGCACACAAGGUGAUCUGGUUGAGUUUUACUAGGUAACCGUACCAUUGUUGUCUGCAUGCUGAA